This is a long non-coding RNA of Drosophila simulans, 1037 nucleotides long. RefSeq lists it as uncharacterized. The transcript is spliced from 3 exons. NCBI's taxonomy places the organism in Eukaryota, Metazoa, Arthropoda, Insecta, Diptera, Drosophilidae. The record is from RefSeq and is a predicted model, not a curated record.
UUAGGAUCCUCAGGGAUCGGCGGCUGAUGUUUUGUAAACACUCAGUAUGAGUUCCAGUUCCCGGGUGCUUGGACGUUGCGGAUCGGCUUAAAAAACGCAUCGGAAGCGAGAAUAUUCUGCUUGCCAGCAAUUUGAAAUGAGUUAAAAUGUGUGCAAAAUAUGAUAAAAAUAUAUGCCAUAAAUGUCAUAUGGGCUGCUAUCCAUGAAAAAGUGUUAAGUGUAGUGUGUCCUAUGGACCGAAAUAGGUCCAUGUGUUAAAGAUGUGCUUGCCAAAUAAAAAAACCAAAAAGUAGAGGGGGUUAAUGAUAAUUCUCUAACCGAAUUGGAAAAAGGAUUCUACGAGCACUCACACAGCCAAUAAAUUGUCCGGCCGCCCGAUUGCCGCUCCAGGACACCAAAUAUUACACAACUCCAGAGGACUGUUCUCCAUUUUGGGCACAUUUGAAAUUCAGAACGCGUUGAGCACAUUAUCACUUUCCAUUGGACCGAGAUGACUUCAUUUUCGUGCCAUAUGCCUGUGCCGGUGCUGUACUUGUGGUUCCACCCGCUCCUCUUAAGUCGCUGCCAUGAUUUACUACAAGCAGAUGAUUUAAUAUAACCGCAUAUCUGGAUAUAGAAACACACACACACCCGGCCAGAGUGCACUUCAGAUGCAUUCGACUGUAUUCGACUGCACUGGAAACAGGAACCCGUUCAACUGGGCCACAAACAGAGGCAGACACCCCACACAUGUUGUCAGUGAAGCGUCCGUUUUGGAGGAAAAACGGGACGACUGUUGAAGGUCCUCCAUCUUGAAAACUGACGCCUCUAAGAGGCGGCUCCGCAAGACGAUAACUCAAUUGAAUAUUUAAACAAAAAGGCAAUUGUAAAUAAGUUAAUACUUUAAACUAUGGUAACUAAAGGGUAAUUUCAAUAUUAUUAAUAGAUUGUGUGAUCGGUUAGAAUUUAAAAUAUUUCCUUUAUUUAUUAGCAUUGUAUUAUGAUUAAGAAAAUAUUUAAUAAAUGGUUUCUCCUGGCUUAAAACCACAAUUAUUGGA